UCAGUCGGCUGGACGGCCGCUCCGCGCCAAUGCCGAAAGGCGGCCGGAGAGGAAAGUCCGGGCUCCAGGGACAAACGGUGCCGGAUAACGUCCGGCGGGUGCGAACCCAGGGACAGUGCCACAGAGAACAGACCGCCACGGUCACGUUGCGUAUCGACCGCGGCAAGGGUGAAACGGUGCGGUAAGAGCGCACCGCGCUUCCGGCAACGGCGGCGGCACGGCAAACCCCACCGGGAGCAAAACCGAAUAGGAACGGCGUGGACGCAAGUCCGAUCGGUCCCGAUCAGCCGUUCGGGUAGGUUGCAUGAUGCGCCGGGCAACCGGCGUACCAGAGGAAUGGCCGUCACGUUCGCGGGCUUGCUCGCGGGCCAUACAGAACCCGGCUUACAGGCUGGCUGAUCUA
RNAcentral lists this RNase P RNA (403 nucleotides) under Pseudolabrys taiwanensis. Its description in RNAcentral is "Bacterial RNase P class A". It matches the Rfam family "Bacterial RNase P class A". From Rfam's summary of the family: Ribonuclease P (RNase P) is a ubiquitous endoribonuclease, found in archaea, bacteria and eukarya as well as chloroplasts and mitochondria. Its best characterised activity is the generation of mature 5'-ends of tRNAs by cleaving the 5'-leader elements of precursor-tRNAs. Cellular RNase Ps are ribonucleoproteins. The record is from Rfam by way of RNAcentral. Lineage: Bacteria; Pseudomonadati; Pseudomonadota; Alphaproteobacteria; Hyphomicrobiales; Xanthobacteraceae.